Oreochromis niloticus (Nile tilapia) is the source of this 1440-nucleotide long non-coding RNA. RefSeq lists it as uncharacterized. Lineage: Eukaryota; Metazoa; Chordata; Actinopteri; Cichliformes; Cichlidae. The record is from RefSeq and is a predicted model, not a curated record. The transcript has 3 exons.
GACAUAGAAAGGAACAGUCAACAACAUUUAAGUCAUUUAGCCAUUGGAGUCUUGGAGGGUAUCAUUUAAUACAAAGUCAAUGGUGAAAGCAGUAUUCAGAUUCUGAAGUACAGUAACAUUACAACCAUGUAAAAAUACUUAAUUUCAAGUCCCGUAAAAAGGGGACGUGUUUAACUAAAUUGCAGUGCAGUGUGAUGACUUGGAUAAAGAUAGUUUUUAAAGAAAGUACAAUUAAGGAAAGACUGUUUUAAUAGAACACACCAGAAGAGCAAUGAAGAUGGUGGUUAUUUAAAAAAAUAAAAAAGGUCAUCUAUAUUACUCUAGCAGACUUUGAGUUUUGAAAAAAUAAAACAACACUUCAAAGUCUUUUUAAUAUGUAAAACAUCAGCAAUCUUAACAGUUAGAAAACAUUUAAUGCCUUAUUUACCAUUACUCGCUCAACAACCUUAAUAUAGAUUCCUAUGAUAAAGUAUUUGCCCCCUUCCUGUUUUUUUUUUUUUUUUUUUUCUUUGCAUGUUUGUCACACUUUCCAUACUGGAUAAAGAUAUUCUGAGUAAAUAAAAAAAAAGCAGUUUUUAAACGACAAGCUCUUUUAUUCAGGGAAAAUAAAGUUAUCUAAACCUGCCUGGCUCUAUGUGAAAAUGUAAUUGCUCCCUAAAGCAAAUAACUGGUUGUGAGACCCUUGGCAGUAAGAACUGCAGUGAAGCAUUUGUGAUAACUGGCAGUAAAUCUGUGCAGGAAUUUUGGCCGAACCUUUUCUUUGCUGAAUUGUUUUAAUGUCAAUGCACUCUUAUUUUAGUGGGCUGAAAACUCUUGGGAAGGUUCACCACGGCUCCAAGGAUUCUCUAUUUUUGGAUAAUGAUCCUCAGCUGUUUUGAGUUUCUUUAGAUCGAGCUAUGAUGCUAUGAAGCAGGCUAAAAGUUGAGAUUUUUAGCCUGCUACGCUUUGUCAGACAGGUCUAAUUUAUGUGAUUUCUUGAUUUAACAGAUGUAAACAGGAAGGUUGGACAUACUUUUUCACAGCACUGUACUUUGCAAUUACUGCACAAACUGAAAGAAGCAUGAGCAACACCUGCACUGACCUUUGACUUCUGCAGUUCCCAGAUGCACAAUGGCAGGACCACUAAGAGCAACAAGAUGUACAACACAACGACCAAUGGCCGGAUCCAUCUUCUCCAGUUCCCACAGGAACACGGCAUCUUUCACAGAGACACUACAGGGCACCCCUUUCUUUUACUAAAGACCUGAACCAACGUCUUCAACACUUAACGCACUUUACGUUAGCUUAGCAUACUGUUACCCUCCUAUCGGCUAACCGCGACUCUAAAACAAUCCUUUACUAAUGUGUAAACGUAUGUCGACUUCUUUUCUAACGUAGCGAUUCAUUCAUGAGGACAAAGCUGCUUGAUAACAACCAGCUCAUAUGACUCCAAUUUUAAAA